UACGGAGGGUGCAAGCGUUAUCCGGAUUCACUGGGUUUAAAGGGUGCGUAGGCGGGGUGGUAAGGCAGUGGUGAAAUCCUGCAGCUCAACUGUAGAAUUGCCAUUGAUACUGCCAUUCUUGAGUGCGCUUGAAGUAGGCGGAAUGUGCCGUGUAGCGGUGAAAUGCUUAGAUAUGGCACAGAACACCAAUUGCGAAGGCAGCUUACUAAGGCGAUACUGACGCUGAGGCACGAAAGCGUGGGGAUCGAACAGG
This 253-nucleotide ribosomal RNA is filed under the name uncultured bacterium. RNAcentral's name for it is "partial 16S ribosomal RNA". It matches the Rfam family "Bacterial small subunit ribosomal RNA", at positions 524 to 776 of the family's 1533-position model. The record is from RNAcentral.